GCGGUUUCCUCAUGAGGCUAUCACAUCCCACUGAAUAUGUCAUUGGUUGCACGUAACCGUGCAGGUAUACAUAUAUGUAUUUCUCAGUUCUCAGCAUUCAUUCAUCCAUUAACUCUUUUGUCAUUUUCAUAUUGUUCAUGUUUCAUACUGACCUAUCCUACUCUCUUGCCAUUUGACAAUGAUACAGUAUUUGGUAGUCUCAGUAAAUCCUACCUGACAAUUACAGAUAACGCUCUGGUUCCAGGACAUUCCUUGCAUGAUUCUAUAUUUAUAGAACAUUUUUCUGUCUGAAUGCACUAUAAGUUAUAGUGGCUGACAAGUUAGGAGAAGCCACAUAAAAGCUUCUUUUGAAUCUCUGGGAAGCUGCCACCAGGGCAGAACAAGGCAGGCAGAGUCGACUGGACUCCUCUGGAACCAAAAGUAUUUCAACCUCAACCCUAAAUGGAAGGAAAAAUCCACAGUCUUUAUUACGAAGUGGCCUUUUUCAGGGACAUGAAGAAUUGCUGAAGGAAGCAGACCUUUUUGGAAGUCAAUCCAUUCUGAUUGGGUUUGCUGCUGUGGAACUCUCUGGACUCAGGAUUCUUUGGUGAAUGGGAGCAAGAAUCUCCAAAGUUAGAAGCGAAGCUGCCAAAGUGGCAACUGACCUCAGCCCAGGACCCUCUCCCCAUUUCAGAUUGGAAAUAACGAGAGUACAGGGCUGUGUGUAUCUGAUUCUGCAAUGCGUCUGCCAUGCCUGGGGAGCUGUUGGGAGAGGGAGCACCAUGAAGUUCACCAGCAGCCAGAAGAAGAUUCCUGAGAGGCCAAGCCAAGUGCUACCUAGAGAGGCCAGCAUGUGGGCUCCACAUUUCUGCUGAAGACGCCUGUGCCCACAAUAAGGCCUGUGUUGGUGUCAGUCUGGAAGAUUAGAGAAGCGGGCAGUGCAGAGCGAAGAGGAGACAGCAGUGGCCAGAGGUGAAACACUGAGGUAGCAGCAGAAAUUCAAAGAAAGAUGACCAGGAAAGAACAUAAGACAUUAAUGGAGCUCAUGUGAGGUAUCUAGAGGACCCAAGUGGUGUUUUUAAAAGAAGCUUAUCAAUGCUGGCAGAUUCCUGCCUCGGUGUGUGUCCCACGGUAAGUAAAACAGGCUCAUGUUACUUUCUACGAACCACAGAACAAAGCAUGCCAAACUCCUUAGAAACACAAGGACUCCAAAAGUAUUACAGCACAGAUGGAAAAACUCAAAUGCCUACCCUUGACAGUCUUUGGUUUAACUACUUGACCUGAUUCUCUUCACAGACUAAAAAGGAAAUCCAAUUCUAUUUGAGAAAACUGACAAGACAUUCUUUUCCUUGGAGAAAAUGGACUGGGACAAAUUACACACAAAAAGCUGAAAUCUCCACCACCAGUGGUUGAAAAACAAUCGAGCCUCCAUUAGCAGUUCCUUUGCCCACAGAAUGCUCUCUGAGGAACUACGGGGUUUGGAAAAAGUGCAGGCCUCUAUUCUUCAUCCACGACACAUCAAAGUUGUAAUAAAAACCUGCUUUUCUUUGUG
RNAcentral lists this long non-coding RNA (1531 nucleotides) under Homo sapiens (human). Its description in RNAcentral is "HSALNT0336163". Lineage: Eukaryota; Metazoa; Chordata; Mammalia; Primates; Hominidae. The record is from RNAcentral.